CGGAGGUGCAAGCGUUGUCCGGAUUAUUGGUUAAAGGGUGCGUAGGCGGUUCUUAAGUCUGGGGUGAAGCCCGUUGCUCAACAACGGAACUGCCCUGGAAACUGGAGGACUUGAGUACAGACGAGGGUGGCGGAAUGGAUGCUGUAGCGGUGAAAUGCAUAGAUAGCAUCCAGAACCCCGAUUGCGAAGGCAGCUGCCUAGACUGUAACUGACGCUGAGGCACGAAAGCGUGGGGAGCGAACAGGAUU
Molecule: ribosomal RNA, 248 nt
Filed under: uncultured bacterium
Lineage: Bacteria
Description: partial 16S ribosomal RNA
Rfam family: Bacterial small subunit ribosomal RNA
Source: RNAcentral